AUGAUCCAGUAGCAGCCAUUAUCGGGUAAUAUUCGUUCGUCUGCUUUUUGUCUACUACAUCGUGAAAUGCAUCUGUAUGGCUCAUUCUUCAAGAGAUCUUCAAAACUGCUAUAUUUUAAUUUUGGUAUGGUGGUCACAAUUACUACCGGAAAGUGAGACCAAAUGAAAACUUCUUAUGUUCGUGUUCGUAUAUCCAGUGGGACCACUUAAGCUAGCGGGCGGUUUAAUUUCUUCAACAAAUAAGCCGAUGUUUUUAUCUUACAGUUUUUUUUGUUAGUAUGGCUAUAACACUUUUGGUUGAUGGAUCCAAAUGAAGACUGAUGCUGUUCGUUGUACAUCCAGUGGAACCGAUCCCGGUUGGUUUUAGUUGCUUCGAAGAAAAAAUGCGAAGAGACAGUUAUCUGAUGCAGCUUCAACAGGCAGCAAACAUUUCCUUGGUAUACUGAAAGGGCGUCUUCAAUCCAGUCAAAUUGGAAUAAAGGAAAAUUGGUCUAUCUGAACUUCGAAGAAUUGCGGCCUAAGAGAUACCAAUGGAAAAAUUGAGCCGUCGAAGAAUUGAGAGCGAAGAAUUGCGAACGAAGAACUCCUGGACAAAGGGUAUUCCGGACACUGCUAGUGACGAGAGUAGUCGCUUCUUUGGGUUUACACCAUAUUAAAAUGGCAUUAUCUAAGUUUUGUGAGUAUUUCGACCUGAAGGAAGGAUUUAAAGCCUUUGUAAUUAUUAUGUUGAUGUUUAGACUAUUAAGCUUUGCUGCUGUGCCUGGCAUAAUUUUUCCGAUGUUCGAUUAUAGAAACGAGUUUGAAAAUUUUCAAGUAGGUCUUCUAUUUGUUAUCGCGUAUGCUGUUUGGAAUUUUGGGUCUACUAUAACGCUGAUUAUUGCAUUGAGAGGACUGUAUAAGAAUGAUGCAGGUCUGCUGUUUCCAAAUUUGGUUGUGAUGCCAAUGGAGAUCAUUCUAACCGUUGUGUCUGGCAUCGUUCUUCCUCUUGGCGCAGGGAUACCACUCUUUGCUUUGUAUUUGUUGGUUUCAUUUGUCCACAUUUAUCAUUUCAUGUGUGUUUACAGUUUGUAUAAAAAAUUUAAACGUGAAGAAACUGUUACUCCAGCUAAUGCACGGAAUUUAAUUAAUUCUGUGUAGGAUCUUCUUCACGAAUUCAUUUAUUUGUGUUUCAGGAUUGUUUUGACUAACUCACUUUCAUUUUUAAUGUAAUGAAUUUUUUUGUGUUCUAGAGUUAUUCUUAAGUUUAUGUAUACGUUGUCAUUCUAUCCUGGUAUUUAAAGCUAAUCGUUAUGUAUAAAUUGUACAUUAUUAUGUUGUGUAUGUUACAAACAUUGCGACCGAUGUAUAGUUGUUGUUUCACUUCACUUCAUCAUGACAUUUGUAGUACUUUUUAAAGUAAAUAGUUUUUCACGAAACUGGAAAAAUCCAAAAUCCCUACCAUGAUCACACUUUCACACAGAACAUGCGGAAGAGUUCGUUCGCUCAACUCAUGCAAAGCCGUAAUAGUAAAAACUCGACCUCAUCGAUGAUCGCUGUUGGAGGGAAGAUUUUUUGCUUGCGCAGACAGGCAGAUGA
Molecule: RNA transcript, 1575 nt
Organism: Photinus pyralis (common eastern firefly)
Lineage: Eukaryota; Metazoa; Arthropoda; Insecta; Coleoptera; Lampyridae
Exons: 9
Source: RefSeq, a predicted model, not a curated record